GAGAUUAUAUCUUAAUUGGAUAGAGUAUAGACUUGUCACGUCUAAAGAUACGGGUUCAAAUCCCGUUAAUCUCG
Molecule: transfer RNA, 74 nt
Filed under: Gefionella okellyi
Lineage: Eukaryota; Malawimonada; Malawimonadea; Malawimonadida; Malawimonadidae
Description: tRNA-Asp
Rfam family: tRNA
About the family: Transfer RNA (tRNA) molecules are approximately 80 nucleotides in length. Their secondary structure includes four short double-helical elements and three loops (D, anti-codon, and T loops). Further hydrogen bonds mediate the characteristic L-shaped molecular structure. tRNAs have two regions of fundamental functional importance: the anti-codon, which is responsible for specific mRNA codon recognition, and the 3' end, to which the tRNAs corresponding amino acid is attached (by aminoacyl-tRNA synthetases). tRNAs cope with the degeneracy of the genetic code in two manners: having more than one tRNA (with a specific anti-codon) for a particular amino acid; and 'wobble' base-pairing, i.e. permitting non-standard base-pairing at the 3rd anti-codon position.
Source: RNAcentral